GAUGAAGAACGUAGCGAAAUGCGAUAAGUAAUGUGAAUUGCAGAGUUCAGUGAAUCAUCGAAUCUUUGAACGCACAUUGCGCCCGUUAGUAUUCUGACGGGCAUGCCUGUCCGAGCGUCAUUUCAACCCUCAAGCACGGCUUGGUGUUGGCGGAUUGCGUGCCCUAGCGGCGCUGCACUCGCCCAAAUACAGUGGCGGUCCCGCUGCGGCUCCCUUUGCGUAGUAACUCACCUCGCACUGGACCGGGCGGCGGCUCGCCGUAAAACCCCAACUCACGAAAUGUUGACCUCGGAUCAGGUAGGAAUACCCGCUGAACUUAAGCAUAUCAAUAAGCGGAGGA
RNAcentral lists this unclassified non-coding RNA (340 nucleotides) under soil metagenome. Its description in RNAcentral is "partial contains 5.8S ribosomal RNA, internal transcribed spacer 2, and large subunit ribosomal RNA". The stretch from base 1 to 120 matches the Rfam family "5.8S ribosomal RNA", at positions 35 to 154 of the family's 154-position model. The record is from RNAcentral.